CCCGCCUUCGGGCGGUGAUCAGUGGCGAACGGGUGAGUAACACGUGGGUAACCUGCCCCUCACUCUGGGAUAACUCCGGGAAACCGGGGCUAAUACCGGAUACGAGCCCGGUCCGCAUGGACCGGGUUGGAAAGUUUCUCGGUGAGGGAUGGACCCGCGGCCUAUCAGCUUGUUGGUGGAGUAAUGGCCUACCAAGGCUUUGACGGGUAGCCGGCCUGAGAGGGCGACCGGCCACACUGGGACUGAGACACGGCCCAG
This 258-nucleotide ribosomal RNA is filed under the name uncultured bacterium. RNAcentral describes it as "partial 16S ribosomal RNA". It matches the Rfam family "Bacterial small subunit ribosomal RNA", at positions 73 to 334 of the family's 1533-position model. The record is from RNAcentral.